GCGUCCCUUGAAUAAGAUGGAUGUGUUUUUUGCACGUGUAUAAUUUUGUCGAUUUUUUCAAUAUUCAAUAAAAUGGGAGUGGAUAUUACUACUUGGCGUGUGAGAAUUGGAUGUUUUGUGGUAAAACAAAGACUUGCCAAAUGUGUAAAGAUGCUUAUUUUGUCUAAAGGAGUUAAAAAGUCGAUCUCUUUCAUUUGGCGCCUGAGCACGUGCAUGGCUAUCUUGAUAAUUCUGUGUGGCGAUGUGGAGAGAAAUCCUGGUCCGCCCAGACAGGACCCGGCACGUAACAAAAAGCAGCCUCUAGACUCACGGGCCUGUGAAGGUCUCUCUAAAGCCACAACCCCUCGACACGAUACAUUAGACGGCGUGGUGACGAGGCAGCGGACAAUGUCAUCUUAUGCCUUUUCUCAACCGUCGCCAUCGCCAUUGCAUAACAGCGGGACUACUCAAAACAGCCAAAAUUGCACUGCAUAGAGUACAUGAGGCAGUCUGGAGAGUACUGAACGCUGGCCCAGAAGGAUUUCACACAUGCCCCGCAGACUCUAGUGUCACAUCAGACUGUGUAUUUACACCCGAUUCUACAAAACCACACUCUUAGACUUAACAGCUUCACCUUGGUCAAGAAAGGUGAGAGUAAAACAAGAGACUCACGAAGCUUCAUCCACCCCAGCACAGUCGUAUGCAAGACUGCCUGCCUUACCCCAGCGUCUAUUUCUGAUCUCUCUGUUGUACCUCAGUCUCCAAAUGAAGGAUCCAUAAAUAAAACUGCUGAAGACAGUUAAAAACCCAGAAGUGCUAUGGAAGACCUGUAUGGUGAUGUUCUGGAUGUGAAAGUUGAACCUGCAAAACCAGUAUCAACCAGAGCUUGGGAUGAACUGCAACUUUAUAGAUCUGUAC
Molecule: RNA transcript, 897 nt
Organism: Dreissena polymorpha
Lineage: Eukaryota; Metazoa; Mollusca; Bivalvia; Myida; Dreissenidae
Exons: 5
Source: RefSeq, a predicted model, not a curated record